UUUGGCCGAGUGGUUAAGGCGACAGACUCGAAAUCUGUUGGGCAUUGCCCGCACAGGUUCAAAUCCUGUAG
Molecule: transfer RNA, 71 nt
Filed under: Coemansia spiralis
Lineage: Eukaryota; Fungi; Kickxellomycota; Kickxellomycetes; Kickxellales; Kickxellaceae
Description: tRNA-Ser
Rfam family: tRNA
About the family: Transfer RNA (tRNA) molecules are approximately 80 nucleotides in length. Their secondary structure includes four short double-helical elements and three loops (D, anti-codon, and T loops). Further hydrogen bonds mediate the characteristic L-shaped molecular structure. tRNAs have two regions of fundamental functional importance: the anti-codon, which is responsible for specific mRNA codon recognition, and the 3' end, to which the tRNAs corresponding amino acid is attached (by aminoacyl-tRNA synthetases). tRNAs cope with the degeneracy of the genetic code in two manners: having more than one tRNA (with a specific anti-codon) for a particular amino acid; and 'wobble' base-pairing, i.e. permitting non-standard base-pairing at the 3rd anti-codon position.
Source: RNAcentral